Molecule: ribosomal RNA, 427 nt
Filed under: uncultured bacterium
Lineage: Bacteria
Description: partial 16S ribosomal RNA
Rfam family: Bacterial small subunit ribosomal RNA
Source: RNAcentral
UGGGGAAUAUUGCACAAUGGGCGCAAGCCUGAUGCAGCCAUGCCGCGUGUAUGAAGAAGGCCUUCGGGUUGUAAAGUACUUUCAGCGGGGAGGAAGGUGUUGUGGUUAAUAACCACAGCAAUUGACGUUACCCGCAGAAGAAGCACCGGCUAACUCCGUGCCAGCAGCCGCGGUAAUACGGAGGGUGCAAGCGUUAAUCGGAAUUACUGGGCGUAAAGCGCACGCAGGCGGUCUGUCAAGUCGGAUGUGAAAUCCCCGGGCUCAACCUGGGAACUGCAUCCGAAACUGGCAGGCUUGAGUCUUGUAGAGGGGGGUAGAAUUCCAGGUAUAGCGGUGAAAUGCGUAGAGAUCUGGAGGAAUACCGGUGGCGAAGGCGGCCCCCUGGACAAAGACUGACGCUCAGGUGCGAAAGCGUGGGGAGCAAACA